CUUGCAGAGUAGACAUGAAAUUUGUAGGGAGAUUAAUUUAAAAGGGUAAGGGAGGUGACAGAAGAGAGUGAGCACACAUGGUACUUUCUUGCAUGCUCAUGUUUCGUGCUUGAAGCUAUGCGUGCUCACGCUCUAUCUGUCACCCCAUCUCUCUUUCUCUCUCUCUUCUAUUUCCCUUAGCUUUCACUUUCUGCUACUAUAAUUAUUAUAGUACUUAAUUAUUUGUGGUUUUUUCUUUUAUCGCUUUUCCUUCUUUAUAUGCUAUCCAACCUCCCUACCCCUAACCCUAAUACCCUUUUUUCCCGUCCAUAUUAACCCUAGCUCCGGGAACUCGUUUUGUCCGGAAAUUAACUUCCCAAUCUGUUCCAUUAGAUUCGAGUUUAAGGAAUUCUUUUGUUUUUACCAAACGAACUCUCGAUCAAUACUGCUUAUACCAAUAUGUACGGGGGCAAGGUGAAGAAGCGUGCCUAACAUGUCAAACGAGAAAGGCCAGAUGGACAUGAAAGAUCUCCAGAAGUUGUAUGCUGAGUUAUUUCUUGGAAAAGGACAAGAGAUGUAUAAUCCAUGGUUUUUAUUGUGGAUGAGAAAAAUGAGAAGAGUUCAUGUGGCUUAUGUUCAUAACAUAUAGAUUAGCUGGACUGUAUCUUCUCGAACAAAGACAGCUUUAUAGAUGUGUCCUGACGUGUGUAAAUCUUCACUGUGUUAUGUUCCAUCUCAUUAUUUGAAUGCAUCUUUAAGAUCACAAUA
Molecule: long non-coding RNA, 747 nt
Organism: Neltuma alba
Lineage: Eukaryota; Viridiplantae; Streptophyta; Magnoliopsida; Fabales; Fabaceae
Exons: 2
Source: RefSeq, a predicted model, not a curated record